AGUGAACGCUGGCGGUAGGCCUAACACAUGCCAGUCGAACGGCAGCACAGCAAGAGCUUGCUCUUACGGGUGGCGAGUGGCGGACGGGUGAGGAAUACAUCGGAAUCUACUUUUUCGUGGGGGAUAACGUAGGGAAACUUACGCUAAUACCGCAUACGACCUACGGGUGAAAGCAGGGGAUCUUCGGACCUUGCGCGAUUGAAUGAGCCGAUGUCGGAUUAGCUAGUUGGCGGGGUAAAGGCCCACCAAGGCGACGAUCCGUAGCUGGUCUGAGAGGAUGAUCAGCCACACUGGAACUGAGACACGGUCCAGACUCCUACGGGAGGCAGCAGUGGGGAAUAUUGGACAAUGGGCGCAAGCCUGAUCCAGCCAUACCGCGUGGGUGAAGAAGGCCUUCGGGUUGUAAAGCCCUUUUGUUGGGAAAGAAAAGCAGCAGGUUAAUACCCCGCUGUUCUGACGGUACCCAAAGAAUAAGCACCGGCUAACUUCGU
RNAcentral lists this ribosomal RNA (491 nucleotides) under uncultured bacterium. RNAcentral's name for it is "partial 16S ribosomal RNA". It matches the Rfam family "Bacterial small subunit ribosomal RNA", at positions 29 to 506 of the family's 1533-position model. The record is from RNAcentral.